UACGUAGGGUGCAAGCGUUAGUCGGAAUUACUGGGCGUAAAGCGUGCGUAGGUGGUUUCUUAAGUCCGUUGUGAAAGCCCUGGGCUCAACCUGGGAACUGCAGUGGAUACUGAGAGGCUAGAGUGUGUCAGAGGAUGGUGGAAUUCCCGGUGUAGCGGUGAAAUGCGUAGAGAUCGGGAGGAACAUCAGUGGCGAAGGCGGCCAUCUGGGACAACACUGACGCUGAGGCACGAAAGCGUGGGGAGCAAACAGG
This 253-nucleotide ribosomal RNA is filed under the name uncultured bacterium. RNAcentral describes it as "partial 16S ribosomal RNA". It matches the Rfam family "Bacterial small subunit ribosomal RNA", at positions 524 to 776 of the family's 1533-position model. The record is from RNAcentral.